ACUAGAUUACACUCAGACACAUGAAGCGCUUCUCCUCCGUGCUGCCUGCGGCCGUCCUAGGCUACGGUAGCGCCACGGCAGUGCGGGCCCACCGAAGAUAUGCCGCAGCUGUCGCAGACGCAGAUGAGCGGGUGAACGCUCAGCAGCAGCAGGAUGAAAAGCCCGAGGCGCAUCGACAGCAGCAGCAGCGCACAGCUGCGGAAGAAAACGCUCUUGGCUCCACUGCUGACGAAGAGCCGCCGCGGCGGCGCAACAUUGUGGUUCUCAGCAACACUACCAAGGCCGUUUACGUGCAUCCGACGAACCAUAUCGCCUCCUGGUAUUGGUUCAUCACUGACUUUCACAAGUGGUUCGUCGGCAUAGUUUUUCUUUUCGUCGGCACGCAGGUUAUCGCGCGCUAUCGCGUGUCGAAGCUUCAGACGGCGACGCAGGCGCAACUCGGAGAGAACUUGCUGGACCAGCGCACUCGUGACCUGCUGAGCGACAUCGAGGUGUUGCGCAAAAAGGACCCGAUCCGACUCGAGCAUGAGGCGAACAUAUACCAUGAGCAAUUCUGGAAGCGGCGCGCGCUGGCGGUGGCCUCGUCGCGAAAUGAGGUGCGUUCGCUGGAGAUCCAGCGCGGCAAGAUGCAAGGAGAAGCCCGAGGAACCGAUAUGACGGAGUGGUUAGGGGCAAAGGCCAAGGACGACGAGGAGCGCGAGGUAGCACGCCGCACGCAGGACUACAUCCAAGGAUUUCAUCAGCACUUAAAGUCGAAGCGCCUCAUCUAAUUGGGCUUACAUGUUGUUUUUUUUUUCCGUGGUGGUGGCGUUUCGAAAGUGUUUACGCGGACCCCGCCAACGCACUUUGACUUGUCGACGAGCAUGCACGUGGGCGUGGGCUUAUCGGUUUUUGCAUGCACAAGUCAGCAUUUCCGACCUCUCUUGGCACCUGCGCGGUCGAUGCUGGCGAGGAGUACAGCUUGCCGCUGGACGGUCUGCACGUUUAUGUCGUGGUGCACUCUAGUGCUUGUCUUUUCGCUUUUUUUUAUUGCAGUUGACAUCACAGGCUUUCUGCAACGUCACACACGGUAAUGUUCGGCGACGGGCACGGAAGAGGAAUGCCGCGACACCGACGGUUUGCCCUCAAGAGAGGCACACAGCGGUGCAGACGAGGCGCGAAGCAAAGUGAAGCGGCAAAAGAGGCGAAAGAAACAAAGUGCGCCAAGCCCCAAAUGUGGACAGUGACGGAGCCCUCCCUUUCGCACCGAAAAGUGCUGGUACUGCCGCUUCACUGCACCAGACGUCCCCGCUGCUGCAAGAGGUAGCUGCUGUAGAGCCCGACGACCGGGCGAAGAGCGGAUCGGUGGAGAGGACAAAAAAGAAUGCCAACUUCGUCCCCUUCAUGUCGCGCACACGUCGAGGGGCACGAGGCCGUGAUGACAGGUGGCAGCGAUUCCUGUUGUGCCCGCCCAGCAUUCUUCCAUCUCACCCGCUCUGUGCGUGAUGCUCUUUUUUGUUUCUCGAAUUUGUACCUAUUCCACCGCUCUCGCUUCCCUCCCGUCUCGAUUCAUCUAUGGCUCAUGCCAUUCGCUGCCACUCUCCUGUGCUGACGCAUGUUGCUUGCUGCGUGGCGCGUGGUGAUCGUCACCGCCGCCACCCAAG
This 1643-nucleotide unclassified non-coding RNA is filed under the name Leishmania donovani. Its description in RNAcentral is "gene:LdHU3.35.5790(CDS-product:hypothetical_prote in_conserved)". The record is from RNAcentral. Lineage: Eukaryota; Euglenozoa; Kinetoplastea; Trypanosomatida; Trypanosomatidae.